UCAGGCCUAACACAUGCAAGUCGUACGAAAGUUUUUAACUUUAGUGGCGGACGGGUGAGUAACACGUGAGAAUUUGCCUUUAGGAGGGGGAUAACAAUUGGAAACGAAUGCUAAUACCCCAUAUGCUUUCGAGUGAAAUGGAUUUAUAUUUAUCCGCCUAGAGAGAAGCUCGCGGCUGAUUAGCUUGUUGGUAAGGUAAGAGCUUACCAAGGCGACGAUCAGUAUCUGGUUUGAGAGGACGAUCAGACACACUGGAACUGAGACACGAUCCAGACUCCUACGGGAGGCAGCAGUGGGGAAUUUCCCGCAAUGGGCGAAAGCCUGACGGAGCAAUACCGCGUGAGGGAAGACUGCCUAUGGGUUGUAAACCUCUUUUUUCAGGGAGGAAUCAAAUGACGUGUACCUGAAGAAUAAGCAUCGGCUAACUCCGUGCCAGCAGCCGCGGUAAGACGGAGGAUGCAAGUGUUAUCCGGAAUCACUGGGCGUAAAGCGUCUGUAGGUGGUUUAAUAAGUCAACUGUUAAAUCUUGAGGCUCAACUUCAAAAUCGCAGUCGAAACUAUUAGACUAGAGUAUAGUAGAGGUAAAGGGAAUUUCCAGUGGAGCGGUGAAAUGCGUAGAUAUUGGAAAGAACACCGAUGGCGAAAGCACUUUACUGGGCUAUUACUAACACUCAGAGACGAAAGCUAGGGUAGCAAAUGG
RNAcentral lists this ribosomal RNA (700 nucleotides) under uncultured bacterium. RNAcentral's name for it is "bacterial SSU rRNA". It matches the Rfam family "Bacterial small subunit ribosomal RNA", at positions 42 to 775 of the family's 1533-position model. The record is from RNAcentral.